CUGCUGCCUCCCGUAGGAGUCUGGGCCGUGUCUCAGUCCCAAUGUGGCCGGCCAACCUCUCAGUCCGGCUACUGAUCGUCGACUUGGUGGGCCGUUACCCCGCCAACUAUCUAAUCAGACGCGAGGCCAUCUCAGAGCGAUAAAUCUUUGGCAGCAAAGCCAUGCGACUUCACUGCAGCAUGCGGUAUUAGCAGCUAUUUCUAGCUGUUAUUCCCCACUCCAAGGCAGGUU
Molecule: ribosomal RNA, 231 nt
Filed under: uncultured bacterium
Lineage: Bacteria
Description: partial 16S ribosomal RNA
Source: RNAcentral